Non-coding RNA from Triticum aestivum (bread wheat), 135 nucleotides. Lineage: Eukaryota; Viridiplantae; Streptophyta; Magnoliopsida; Poales; Poaceae. The record is from Rfam.
CUUGUACUCCUUCCGUCCGAAAAUAUUUGUCAUUAAAAUGGAUAAAAAGAUAUGUAUCUAUAACUAAAAUACAUCUAGAUACAUCCCCUUUUAUCCAUUUUGAUGACAAGUAUUUCCAGACGGAGUGAGUAUAUU